UAGAGUUUGAUCCUGGCUCAGGNUNAACNCGUGUCGCGCGAGGCGUUAAUANNUGCAAAUCUAGGGGCANCUGCGAAGNNNAUUAUUUGGUGGCGACCGGCGGACGGGUGACUAACGCGUACCCAACCUACCUUAUACANGAGCAUAGCCCCNCAGAAACUGGGAGUAAUACUCCAUAACAUUGCGGAAUCGCAUGAUUCUGCAAUUAAAACUCCGGUGGUAUAAGAUGGGGGUGCGUUCCAUUAGUUAGUUGGUAGGGUAACGGCCUACCAAGACGAUGAUGGAUAGCUGGCGUGAGAGCGCGACCAGCCACACUGGAACUGAGACACGGUCCAGACUCCUACGGGAGGCAGCAGUAGGGAAUAUUGGUCAAUGGAGGAAACUCUGAACCAGCCAUCCCGCGUGCAGGAUGAAGGCCCUCUGGGUCGUAAACUGCUUUUCUUAGGGAAGAAACGCUUGGAUUUAUCCGAGUCUGACGGUACCUAAGGAAUAAGCACCGGCUAACUCCGUGCCAGCAGCCGCGGUAAUACGGAGGGUGCAAGCGUUAUCCGGAUUUACUGGGUUUAAAGGGUGCGCAGGCGGAUUUUUAAGUCAGUGGUGAAAGCCCGGAGCUCAACUCCGGAAUUGCCAUUGAUACUGAAAGUCUUGAGUACAGUUGANGUAGGCGGAAUGUGUCAUGUANCGGUGAAAUGCUUANAUAUGACACAGAACACCGAUUGCGAAGGCAGCUUACUAAACUGUAACUGACGCUCAGGCACGAAAGCGUGGGUAGCGAANAGGAUUANAUACCCUGGUAGUCCACGCCCUAA
RNAcentral lists this ribosomal RNA (809 nucleotides) under uncultured bacterium. RNAcentral describes it as "bacterial SSU rRNA". It matches the Rfam family "Bacterial small subunit ribosomal RNA", at positions 1 to 805 of the family's 1533-position model. The record is from RNAcentral.